CAGACUAAAGCAGAGGCUGCGUGCAGGCAGGCAGGAAGUUACCGCUAUCGCUGAAUGGGACGAGAAGAGCACGGUGUCGGGGAUAGACAGAGAUAACCAGACAUGACGGAGAAACGGAUGUCGCGGUGGUACUUCGGGGGGCUGGCGUCGUGCGGGGCCGCCUGCUGCACGCAUCCCCUGGACCUGCUCAAGGUGCACCUGCAGACACAACAAGAGGUGAAGAUGAGGAUGGUGGGGAUGGCUGUCCAUGUGGUGAAGAAUGACGGACUGCUGGCUCUUUAUAAUGGCCUCUCUGCCUCCCUUUGUAGACAGAUGUCCUAUUCCUUAACCAGAUUUGCCAUCUAUGAGACAGUGAGGGACAUGCUGGGCAGCACAAGCCAGGGCCCCAUGCCCUUCUACCAGAAGGUCCUGCUGGGAGCCUUUGGAGGUUUUACUGGUGGUUUUGUUGGCACGCCGGCAGAUAUGGUUAAUGUCAGGAUGCAGAACGAUGUGAAACUACCACCAGAGCUGAGGAGAAACUACAAACAUGCCAUUGAUGGGCUUAUCAGGGUCUUCAGAGAAGAGGGAGUGAGGAAACUCUUCUCAGGAGCCACCAUGGCCUCCAGCAGAGGAGCGCUGGUCACUGUGGGACAGUUGGCGUGUUACGACCAAGCCAAGCAGGUGGUGUUGGCAACAGGCGUGAUGGGAGACAGCAUAUUCACACAUUUCCUUUCCAGCUUCAUUGCUGGAGGCUGUGCUACGUUCUUGUGUCAACCUCUGGAUGUGAUGAAGACCAGGCUGAUGAACUCAAAGGGAGAGUACACAGGUGUGAUGCAUUGCCUACGAGAAACUGCCAAGCUGGGUCCUCUGGCAUUUUACAAGGGUCUCGUCCCAGCAGGGAUUCGGUUGAUUCCUCACACAGUGCUCACGUUCAUCUUCCUGGAACAGCUCAAGAAGAACUUUGGCAUCCUCAUCAUCUCCUGAGCAUGCUCUGUGACCUGCCACCCUUUAACCCUUCAGCAUCCGCCACCCCACCUGCCAACAAGUCACUGGCUGGCACUGCCAUUUGCAACUCUUGAUUAUUGCUUAGUCACAAGGAAAGAAGGGAGGAAAGGAAGUAAAGUAAAUUUGUACGGGCAUUUGUAUGUUCCCCUUCUCUUUUUGCUGUACCUCUGUCUCAUUUGUUUUGGAAACUGGAAGCUUAAGAAUCAUGGACAUUCACAGCAGCCGCACCUUCUGAAAAGUGGUGGGAGAUACCAUGGUUCUGAAUGAUCUAGAUGAGAGGAAGCUGGACCAAGGAUAGAGCCUUGCAGAACACCACAGCUGAAACGGGCAACAGAGGAACAGGCAUUCCCUAUGACCACAGACAAGGUUUUAUAAGAGAGGUACGAAUGUAGUAUAUGUAGAGCACUAAAACAUUGUAAAACACACAGACACAAUAGAUAGCUGCUGUACACAGGCUCAGUGACAAGCUUCAUUUACCAUGGAAGCAGUAUUUUUAUACCACAACGUAACUCAUGUUAGCACAUAAAAUUAGAAAUGUUUAAAAGAGCAGCAUGAUAUAUCAAGUCAAGCACCAAGACACAAAAUAUUAAGUUGCCAAAUUUAAGGAGCCUAAAUCUCUUCACAUAUCAAACAUGUCAUCAAACAUGCAUGUUACACACUUUCUUUAUAUGUGCUUCAGUGUUCUCUCAGGGCUGCCUCACACUGCCUUCUCUCUCCCCUAUCUGUGGUGUCUGCUGUUGUCUGCUCUGCCUCCCACUGUUUGCAGUGUCUUCUGCACUUUCUCCUUAGUAAUAAUAACAGUAGAGUAAAUAACAUAGAAAUAUGAAUAAUAAUACUUUGGGCUACGUUUCAGUAGUUUUUUUUUUCUUGAUUCCUCUUUGUUUCAUUCCAAACCUCUUUCAUCAUUUAAUUCUUGAACCUAGAGGACAAAGCCUGUUCCUCUAGUGUUUUCAAGACAAGGAGGGAGAGGUUGGGGGAAUGGUGAGGCAGUGACAAAAUCAGAGAUGGUCUAAACAAUCUAAAUAUCUCUGUAUAGGCUUUGAUCAAAAUCCUGCUGAAGAUAAAUUUCUCAUCUCAUCUCUCAGUGACAUUCUGGUUCAGUGUCUGUCCAUUAGGAAUACUGUAUGAACCCUUGCACCGACAGAUAAUUGCUUGUACAAUGAAAAAGCAUUUCUAACUAAUUUUACCAUUCUAUCUAGAUGAAUAUAUGCCAGUCUCCAUGGCUCAGGAUGCUAAUCUGUUUUAAAAGGCACUUUAUUAAAACCCUGGAUUCACACAAAUACACAUUGCUGCAUAGAAAUCCAUAAUGCGCACAUGCUCAAUGCACAAAUGUAUUAUGUUGCAAACUAUUUACAUUCUGAAAGAAUCCACAGCCGUGUUAAUGACAUGUAAUUCCAGCAGAGGGGAUUCAAACUUUUUGUCGUGAUUCUAGUGUGUUGUUUUCUGAGGACAGAGAUUUAAUCUUGAUUCAGCCUUGUGAUAGAGGAAUAACAAAUCGCUACCUCUGUGCCAUGCCUGAUCUGUUUAUGGAGUCCUGUCAAGUCAUCUUGCCUUAUAGUGUGUGCCCCCAGGGGGCAGUAUGUGACAUCAUACCUCUAACUGGAUCUGAUUGAUUAGUAAUAGAUUCCUCUCCCAUAGCCUCCUAUUCACAUAGCCUUUUACCCUGUACCUUUUACCCAGAUUAAAUGAGAAGAGAGGAUAGGAUCAAUCAGCAAGACUGAAUGUGAAUGAGAUAGCCACGAGCUCUCAUUCCACUUGAGAAUGACUGUGUGUGUGCAUGUGUUUGUCUGUUUGAACAUGCGUGCAUGCUCUUCAUUUCAAGAGUAGCUCAAUUAUGAGAGACUGUGAAUUUGUAUUUUGUAAAUCAUUAACUAAUAAUUGUGGAAUUAAAAUACUAAUGAAAUAUGUCUCACUUUUUGUGUAUAUUUAUAUGUUUUGUGUAUACAUACACCUGCUGCACUCGU
RNA transcript from Myripristis murdjan (pinecone soldierfish), 2948 nucleotides. It is a transcript of the gene named solute carrier family 25 member 10b, with no coding region annotated. The record is from RefSeq and is a predicted model, not a curated record. Lineage: Eukaryota; Metazoa; Chordata; Actinopteri; Holocentriformes; Holocentridae. The transcript has 12 exons.